UUCAUCCCAUUGGGGUCUAUGUAUCCAUCCUAUUGGGGACCCCAUGUACAUUGCACUGGGGUCUGUGUAUCCAUCCUAUUGGGGUCCCCAUCUCUAUCCCACUGGGGUCUGCAUAUCCAUGCCAUUGGGGUCCCCAUCUCCAUCCCAUCAGAAUCCCCACAUCCACCCCACUGGGCUCCCCAUGCCCCAGCCCAGGGGGAAGCCGGAGGUGGCAGAGAUCUGAUGGGACGGGGUGGUGAUGUGAAGAAGCCGUAUUAAUAUUUAUUCCAUCCAGCAGCUCCGCGCGGCUCCGCCGUGCUCUGACCGCAGCACCAACCCUCAGGCACCGCAAACACAAUUUGAAAACAAUGUGACGGAAAUGUUUAAUCUGCUCAGCCCAUCUGUGCUGCGUAUUUCUCCAGAUCUCCCUGAGAGAGGCGCCUUCGAAUCUCCACAUUGCCUUUAAUAUUCUCCUAAAUCACCUCCCCACCGCACUUCAAGGGCCAUUGCUACAAUAUCACAGCCAAUUAUUUUCGCCUUUAAAGCCUGAUGGAAACGAGCAGCCGCCCGCGUUCGGCUCUGCCCGUGACCUGUGAAGAGGGCUGGUGGUAAUUGUGCACAUGUGUGCGCCCGCGUGCGAGGAGCCGAGCUAUGGAGCAGCUCGGAGGAGGAAAGCAGGAGGAGAGGAGAGAGCUUUGGACGGAGGGAUUUUUGGUGCACGGCGCUUUGUUGGCUGUCAAUGGUCAGAAUCUCUCAUUUUUAACCACUGAUUUGCUGCUUGCCCCAUAGAGGAGCACUGGAAGGGUUGGGAUGUUGGGGUUACACCUUUGGGAAUGGCUCAGCGUUGGAUUCCUGAAGGAGAAUUAUGGCAAAGGGAAACUUUUGGUGCCCGGGAGCAGGACGUUCGGUUCCAUCCAUCCACAUAAACUCAUCUCGAAUGAAAGCAGUGCGUGACAUUUGGCGACGGAACAGCUUUAAAUGUUACAGCAUCCAUUGCUUUAAAUGUUACCCGCGCCUCGUGAACCGGGAGACGGUUUUAUAAUUAGCUCCGUCUCUAACGAACAAAGCUCUCUACUGUCUGCUGCUCAUCCACGUUAGCAAAGGCAACAGGGGAGGAGGGGGUGGCAAGGAUGGCCGUCACCUUUUGGCAAACCCGUGCCACCUAUGGGCCUUAUUCUGCCCACGUGCCGACCCUUGGCCCUCACUUUCCCCCCAUCACUCCCUCAAUUGCUGCUCCAUCCCAAAUCGAAGCAACUCACACCCAUCCGCCACACAGAACAGCGCUGCCCAUUGGGGACAGUGCAAAAAAAACCUGGGUUGG
This is a long non-coding RNA of Lagopus muta (rock ptarmigan), 1300 nucleotides long. RefSeq lists it as uncharacterized. Lineage: Eukaryota; Metazoa; Chordata; Aves; Galliformes; Phasianidae. The record is from RefSeq and is a predicted model, not a curated record. The transcript has 3 exons.